Molecule: ribosomal RNA, 253 nt
Filed under: uncultured bacterium
Lineage: Bacteria
Description: partial 16S ribosomal RNA
Rfam family: Bacterial small subunit ribosomal RNA
Source: RNAcentral
AACGUAGGUGGCGAGCGUUAUCCGGAUUUACUGGGCGUAAAGGGUGUGCAGGCGGGGGUCCAAGUGGUGUAUGAAAUCGCCCGGCUUAACCGGGCAGGGUUAUGCCAGACUGGACUUCUAGAGUGCGAGAGAGGGACGUGGAAUUCCGGGUGUAGUGGUGAAAUGCGUAGAGAUCCGGAGGAACCCCAGAGGCGAAGGCGGCGUCCUGGCUCGCAACUGACGCUCAGACACGACAGCAUGGGGAGCGAACGGG